RNAcentral lists this ribosomal RNA (868 nucleotides) under Orbilia oxyspora. Its description in RNAcentral is "LSU rRNA". It matches the Rfam family "Eukaryotic large subunit ribosomal RNA", at positions 66 to 952 of the family's 3401-position model. The record is from RNAcentral. Lineage: Eukaryota; Fungi; Ascomycota; Orbiliomycetes; Orbiliales; Orbiliaceae.
CAACAGGGAUUGCCUCAGUAACGGCGAGUGAAGCGGCAACAGCUCAAAUUUGAAAUCUGGGAUUUUUAGUCUCCGAGUUGUAAUUUGAAGAGGAUGUUUCGGUUGGGACCUGGGCCUAAGUUCCUUGGAACAGGACGUCGUAGAGGGUGAGAAUCCCGUACACGGCUCCCGGUCUCCUUCCAUGUGUAACUCCCUCGAAGAGUCGAGUUGUUUGGGAAUGCAGCUCAAAAUGGGUGGUAAAUUUCAUCUAAAGCUAAAUAUUGGCGAGAGACCGAUAGCGCACAAGUAGAGUGAUCGAAAGAUGAAAAGCACUUUGAAAAGAGAGUUAAACAGUACGUGAAAUUGUUGAAAGGGAAGCGCUUGCAAUCAGACUUGCCUUCAGUUGAUCAACGUUCCUUUUGGUUCGUGCACUCUGCUGUUUGCAGGCCAGCAUCAGUUGGUGCGGUGGGACAAAGGUUGCGGGAAUGUGGCUCACUUCGGUGAGUGUUAUAGCCCGUUUCGUAAUGCCACCAGCGCCGAUUGAGGUCCGCGGUUCGUCCUAGGAUGCUGGCUUAAUGGUUGUAAGCGACCCGUCUUGAAACACGGACCAAGGAGUCUAACAUCUAUGCGAGUCUUUGGGUGUCAAACCCAUGGGCGAAAUGAAAGUGAACGGAGGUGGGAGUCUUCGGAUGCACCAUCGACCGAUCCUGAUGUUCUCGGAUGGAUUUGAGUAGGAGCAUAGCUGUUGGGACCCGAAAGAUGGUGAACUAUGCCUGAAUAGGGUGAAGCCAGAGGAAACUCUGGUGGAGGCUCGCAGCGGUUCUGACGUGCAAAUCGAUCGUCAAAUUUGGGUAUAGGGGCGAAAGACUAAUCGAACCAUCUAGUAGCU